UACGGGGGGGGGCAAGCGUUGUUCGGAAUUCCUGGGCGUAAAGGGUUCGUAGGUGGCCAACUAAGUCAGACGUGAAAUCCCUCAGCUUAACUGGGGAACUGCGUCUGAGACUGGAUGGCUUGAGUGCAGGAGAGGAACGCGGAAUUCCAGGUGUAGCGGUGAAAUGCGUAGAUAUCUGGAGGAACACCGGUGGCGAAGGCGGCAUCCUGGACCAACACUGACACUGAGGAGCGAAAGCCAGGGGAGCAAACGGG
This 254-nucleotide ribosomal RNA is filed under the name uncultured bacterium. Its description in RNAcentral is "partial 16S ribosomal RNA". It matches the Rfam family "Bacterial small subunit ribosomal RNA", at positions 524 to 776 of the family's 1533-position model. The record is from RNAcentral.